AGGUGUGUGAGGUGGCAUCCUAUUGUAGUUUUGAUUGCAUCUGUCUAAGCAGGUGUCCUCUUCUUUCUUUACCAUUCCAUGUGCAUCCCUCCCAGAAGUGCAUGCUUGAUCAAAGAGGACAACCACCCCUGCUAGAAGAGGAUCAUUCUUCAAUCAAGGGUAUAUGAGUAGUUGUACUUUCCUGCUAGAACCUCCAUACAAGCUGUCAAGAAUAAAGAGGGAUCUCAAAUAAACAGUCUCACCUAAGGU
RNAcentral lists this small RNA (249 nucleotides) under Carlito syrichta (Philippine tarsier). RNAcentral's name for it is "7SK RNA (ENSTSYG00000023826.2)". It matches the Rfam family "7SK RNA", at positions 46 to 300 of the family's 331-position model. From Rfam's summary of the family: 7SK was discovered as an abundant small nuclear RNA in the mid-70s but a possible function has only recently been suggested. Two independent studies have found that 7SK RNA binds the CDK9/cyclin T complex (known as elongation factor P-TEFb). The record is from Rfam by way of RNAcentral. Lineage: Eukaryota; Metazoa; Chordata; Mammalia; Primates; Tarsiidae.